Sinocyclocheilus rhinocerous is the source of this 1248-nucleotide long non-coding RNA. RefSeq lists it as uncharacterized. Lineage: Eukaryota; Metazoa; Chordata; Actinopteri; Cypriniformes; Cyprinidae. The transcript has 4 exons. The record is from RefSeq and is a predicted model, not a curated record.
CGUGCGUCAGAUCAGCCCUGUCAACAUCACAAGAAAGACAACUUGGGUACAUUUGAAAGAACUUACUGAAAUUGACUUUUGACGGUGACUUUUAAAAGGUGAAAAGAGGACAGGAGAUACAAAAGAGAAAAAAAAACCAGAAGUGGGACUGAAGAAGAGAGGAAGAUUGAAGAAAAAAGAAGACUCUAAACGUCUGAAGACACUUGACAAAGGCCUGCAGGAGACCAGCUAUGGAGGAGGAUUACAAGAGACCACCACCAUCCUAUGACGAAGUUAUAACCGAGCAGCACACGAGCAACACUAGUCAGAGCCGCUCCGCUGAUAACAGGCAGGGCUGCUGCUGCAAAUGUUGCAUUAGCACCAAGAACUGUCUGAUGAGUCCGGAGUGCGGUCGAGCUCUUAACAUCGCCAGCGUGGUUGCCAUGUGUGGCAUGUGUAUUCGAAUGUUUGUCUAACACAGUCUCCUGUGGACCAUUUAUUCCAGAUCUUUCAUCCAGUGGUGGCCUUCUCAAAUUAAAAAGGAAACAAAGACAUUUGCUCUGUUCCAAAACCUAGUGAUCUGCAACAUUUACAAGCUUUCCCCCAAUACGAAUCCCAAUGCUGUUCCAACUAGGAUGCAGCACUGCAUUUAUCCUUAACAGAUAAGGUAAUCCCAGAACGAACUGACUAAAAUUUCCAUUUCGAAUAGGAAACGUCAAUUGUGAAGUAUAACUUAUAAAUACAAAGUAAUUCUGUACUGACAAAUAUCAUUGAAAAACACUGCCAUGUCAUACAAUCUAGUCUCCCAUGUGAUUCAUGGGCCUCAUUCAUGAAAAAGUAGCACAAUAAAUUCAUAAAUCGUUUGUAAAAUCAUUCCUAUAUUCAGUGUGGCAUUUAAUUAAAUCGGCAUGAGUGACCACUUAAGGUGCGGUCACAUUUAUCAUUGUUAGAUGAAAUAGACAAGUAAUUUCAAUAGGGAUCCAAGUUAUAAGGAAUUUUCCAACAGAAAGAUGUUUGGUUUGAAAAUGAAUUCUGUAUGAGCUAACAACAUGCAAUGACAAUGGGCCUUUUUUUGUCUGCAAAAUGUUGCUAAUGUGACUGUACCUUCCCAGUAUGUAAUUCCAUUUUGAAAGACAGUAGUGUUAAACAGUUGUACUAAUAUUUUCUCUCUAAUCCAAGUCCUUUGUUUAUGUAGAGCUUUAUACAAUAUACUUUGCACAAUACUAAACAGGAAAGAAACAGAAUCAGUGAUGCAAACUUAAAAAAUAA